AUUGAACGCUGGCGGCAGGCCUAACACAUGCAAGUCGAGCGGAAACGAGUUAUCUGAACCUUCGGGGAACGAUAACGGCGUCGAGCGGCGGACGGGUGAGUAAUGCCUAGGAAAUUGCCCUGAUGUGGGGGAUAACCAUUGGAAACGAUGGCUAAUACCGCAUGAUGCCUACGGGCCAAAGAGGGGGACCUUCGGGCCUCUCGCGUCAGGAUAUGCCUAGGUGGGAUUAGCUAGUUGGUGAGGUAAGGGCUCACCAAGGCGACGAUCCCUAGCUGGUCUGAGAGGAUGAUCAGCCACACUGGAACUGAGACACGGUCCAGACUCCUACGGGAGGCAGCAGUGGGGAAUAUUGCACAAUGGGCGCAAGCCUGAUGCAGCCAUGCCGCGUGUGUGAAGAAGGCCUUCGGGUUGUAAAGCACUUUCAGUCGUGAGGAAGGUAGUGUAGUUAAUAGCUGCAUUAUUUGACGUUAGCGACAGAAGAAGCACCGGCUAACUCCGUGCCAGCAGCCGCGGUAAUACGGAGGGUGCGAGCGUUAAUCGGAAUUACUGGGCGUAAAGCGCAUGCAGGUGGUUUGUUAAGUCAGAUGUGAAAGCCCGGGGCUCAACCUCGGAAUUGCAUUUGAAACUGGCAGACUAGAGUACUGUAGAGGGGGGUAGAAUUUCAGUGUAGCGGUGAAUGCGUAGAGAUCUGAAAGAAUACCGGUGGCGAGCGCCCCUGGACAGAUACUGACACUCAGAUGCGAAAGCGUGGGGAGCAAACAGGAUUAGAUACCCUGGUAGUCCACGCCGUAAACGAUGUCUACUUGGAGGUUGUGGCGUGAGCCGUGGCUUUCGGAGCUAACGCGUUAAGUAGACCGCCUGGGGAGUACGGUCGCAAGAUUAAAACUCAAAUGAAUUGACGGGGGCCCGCACAAGCGGUGGAGCAUGUGGUUUAAUUCGAUGCAACGCGAAGAACCUUACCUACUCUUGACAUCCAGAGAACUUUCCAGAGAUGGAUUGGUGCCUUCGGGAACUCUGUGACAGGUGCUGCAUGGCUGUCGUCAGCUCGUGUUGUGAAAUGUUGGGUUAAGUCCCGCAACGAGCGCAACCCUUAUCCUUGUUUGCCAGCGAGUAAUGUCGGGAACUCCAGGGAGACUGCCGGUGAUAAACCGGAGGAAGGUGGGGACGACGUCAAGUCAUCAUGGCCCUUACGAGUAGGGCUACACACGUGCUACAAUGGCGCAUACAGAGGGCGGCCAACUUGCGAAAGUGAGCGAAUCCCAAAAAGUGCGUCGUAGUCCGGAUUGGAGUCUGCAACUCGACUCCAUGAAGUCGGAAUCGCUAGUAAUCGUGGAUCAGAAUGCCACGGUGAAUACGUUCCCGGGCCUUGUACACACCGCCCGUCACACCAUGGGAGUGGGCUGCAAAAGAAGUAGGUAGUUUAACCUUCGGGGGGACGCUUACCACUUUGUGGUUCAUGACUGGGGUGA
Molecule: ribosomal RNA, 1469 nt
Filed under: Vibrio parahaemolyticus AN-5034
Lineage: Bacteria; Pseudomonadati; Pseudomonadota; Gammaproteobacteria; Vibrionales; Vibrionaceae
Description: bacterial SSU rRNA
Rfam family: Bacterial small subunit ribosomal RNA
Source: RNAcentral